RNAcentral lists this ribosomal RNA (938 nucleotides) under uncultured bacterium. Its description in RNAcentral is "bacterial SSU rRNA". It matches the Rfam family "Bacterial small subunit ribosomal RNA", at positions 598 to 1533 of the family's 1533-position model. The record is from RNAcentral.
AAUCCCCGGGCUCAACCUGGGAACUGCGUUCGAUACUGGAUGGCUAGAGUGUGGUAGAGGGGGGUGGAAUUCCUAGUGUAGCGGUGAAAUGCGUAGAGAUUAGGAGGAACACCAGUGGCGAAGGCGACUUUCUGGACUGUAACUGACACUGAGGCACGAAAGCGUGGGGAGCAAACAGGAUUAGAUACCCUGGUAGUCCACGCCGUAAACGAUGGAUACUAGGUGUAGGGGGUAUCGACCCCCCCUGUGCCGGAGUUAACGCAAUAAGUAUCCCGCCUGGGGAGUACGGCCGCAAGGCUGAAACUCAAAGGAAUUGACGGGGGCCCGCACAAGCAGCGGAGCAUGUGGUUUAAUUCGAAGCAACGCGAAGAACCUUACCAGGACUUGACAUCCCCUUGAUCGGUAUAGAGAUAUACCUUUUCUUCGGAACAAGGGAGACAGGUGGUGCAUGGUUGUCGUCAGCUCGUGUCGUGAGAUGUUGGGUUAAGUCCCGCAACGAGCGUAACCCUUAUCUUUAGUUGCCAUCAGGUAAUGCUGGGCACUCUAGAGAGACCGCCGGGGAUAACUCGGAGGAAGGUGGGGAUGACGUCAAAUCAUCAUGCCCCUUAUGUCCUGGGCUACACACGUGCUACAAUGGCCUGAAACAGAGAGAAGCGAAGCCGUAAGGUGAAGCAAACCUCAGAAACCAGGUCCCAGUUCGGAUUGUGGGCUGCAACUCGCCCACAUGAAGUCGGAGUUGCUAGCAAUCGCGAAUCAGCAUGUCGCGGUGAAUACGUUCCCGGGCCUUGUACACACCGCCCGUCACACCAUGGGAGUCGGGAGCACCCGAAGCCAGUGACCUAACCGCAAGGGAGGAGCUGUCGAAGGUGAAAUCGAUGACUAGGGUGAAGUCGUAACAAGGUAGCCGUAUCGGAAGGUGCGGCUGGAUCACCUCCUUA